RNAcentral lists this unclassified non-coding RNA (361 nucleotides) under uncultured fungus. RNAcentral's name for it is "sequence contains ITS2". The stretch from base 1 to 52 matches the Rfam family "5.8S ribosomal RNA", at positions 103 to 154 of the family's 154-position model. Lineage: Eukaryota; Fungi. The record is from RNAcentral.
AACGCACCUUGCGCCCCUUGGUAUCCCGAGGGGCAUGCCUGUUUGAGUGUCAUUAAAUUCUCAACUUGACCUGAAAAUGAAAUGAAAUGACAUGAAGUUUUCAGAGUCAAGCUUGGACUUUGGAGCAUGCUGGCCUCACUACCACAAGGUCGGCUUCUCUGAAAAGCAUUAGCAAAAACCUGAUUGGGCUCAAUCAAGCUUUGUUGGCAUUGAUAAAUUAACCUGUCUAUGUCGCUGGCUGAACCGUGAGCGUGCCUCUCGUGCUAUUUUGCUUCCAAUUGUCUGCUUUCGUGUAAAAAGUCACACAAAGUGCAUUUUGAAACAUGACCUCAGAUCAGGUAGGACUACCCGCUGAACUUAA